AGAGUUUGAUCAUGGCUCAGGAUGAACGUUGGCGGCGUGCCUAACACAUGCAAGUCGAACGGGAAGCAGCCUUCGGGUUGUGGAGAGUGGCGGACGGGGGUGAGUAACACGUAGCUAACCUGCCCCGAAGGGGAGGAUAACCUCUGGAAACAGGGGCUAAUACUCCAUGAGCUUACAGAGUGUAGAGGUUUGUAAGGAAAGCUGAGGCGCUCUGGGAGGGGGCUGCGGUCCAUCAGCUAGAUGGUGUGGUAACGGCACACCAUGGCGACGACGGAUAGGGGACCUGAGAGGGUGACCCCCCACACUGGGACUGAGACACGGCCCAGACUCCUACGGGAGGCAGCAGUGAGGGAUAUUGCACAAUGGGCGCAAGCCUGAUGCAGCGACGCCGCGUGGGUGAAGAAGGCUUUCGGGUCGUAAAGCCCUUUUCUAGGUGACGAGGAAGGACGGUAGCCCAGGAAUAAGUCUCGGCUAACUACGUGCCAGCAGCCGCGGUAAAACGUAGGAGGCGAGCGUUAUCCGGAGUUACUGGGCGUAAAGCGCGUGCAGGCGGAUUGCUAAGUUGGUUAUGAAAGCUCCUGGCUAAACUGGGAGAGGUUGACCAAGACUGGCAGUCUAGAGUGGAUGAGAGGUAAACGGAAUUCCGCGUGUAGUGGUGAAAUGCGUAGAGAUGCGGAGGAACACCAGUGGCGAAGGCGGUUUACUGGCAUCCAACUGACGCUCAGACGCGAAAGCAUGGGUAGCGAACGGGAUUAGAAACCCCGGUAGUCCAUGCCGUAAACGAUGCACACUAGACGUUCGUCGUCGUGAAGGCGAUGAGUGUCGCAGCAAACGCGAUAAGUGUGCCGCCUGGGGAGUACGGUCGCAAGGCUAAAACUCAAAGGAAUUGACGGGGGCCCGCACAAGCAGCGGAGCGUGUGGUUUAAUUCGAGUGUACGCGAAGAACCUUACCUGGGUUUGACAUAUACGUGGUACGGAAGCGAAAGCUGAAGGACUCUUCGGAGAGCGUAUACAGGUGCUGCAUGGUUGUCGUCAGCUCGUGCCGUGAGGUGUUCGGUUAAGUCCGCAAACGAGCGCAACCCUUGUCGUUAGUUACAAGUGUCUAGCGAGACUGCCCGUGGCAAACGGGAGGAAGGUGUGGAUGACGUCAAAUCAGCAUGGCCUUUAUAUCCAGGGCUACACACACGCUACAAUGGCGUAUACAGUGGGUCGCUAAGCCGCGAGGUGGAGCCAAUCCCCCAAAGUACGUCGUAGUUCGGAUUGCAGGCUGCAACUCGCCUGCAUGAAGUAGGAGUUGCUAGUAACCGCGUAUCAGCACGGCGCGGUGAAUACGUUCCCGGGCCUUGUACACACCGCCCGUCACUCAAUGGGAGCUGGUUACGCCUGAAGUCGGGAGUCCAACCGCAAGGGGGAUACCGCCGAGGGCAGGACGGGUGACUGGGACGAAGUCGUAACAAGGUAGCCGUA
This 1467-nucleotide ribosomal RNA is filed under the name uncultured prokaryote. Its description in RNAcentral is "partial 16S ribosomal RNA". It matches the Rfam family "Bacterial small subunit ribosomal RNA". The record is from RNAcentral.